RNAcentral lists this ribosomal RNA (552 nucleotides) under Triticum aestivum (bread wheat). Its description in RNAcentral is "partial small subunit ribosomal RNA". The record is from RNAcentral. Lineage: Eukaryota; Viridiplantae; Streptophyta; Magnoliopsida; Poales; Poaceae.
AUGGUCACUCGUACCCGUGAUGCUACUCAUCCUGACAAGGAGUUUACUGAUGGGACGGUGCGGUAUAAUCCUCUUCGUUGUGCUUUCUUUGUGACACCGAUGUCACAUCGUGAUGCUCUCCGUGAGCCGGUGUGGCAUGCUGCUAUGGCUGCUGAGUUUGCAGCGCUUCGUCAAAACGGCACUUGGGUCUUGGUUCCUCGACCACCUGGCGUUAACAUUGUUGGUAGUAAGUGGGUUUUCAAAACGAAGCAACAUGUCGAUGGGUCUGUUGACAAGCACAAGGCUCGCCUCGUCGCUCGUGGUUUUACUCAACAACACGGUCUUGACUACGGUGAUACCUUCAGCCCCGUGGUGAAGCCGACUACUAUCCGUUUGGUUCUUUCGCUUGUUGUUUCGCGUGGAUGGAGCUUGAGGCAGAUUGAUGUUAGCAAUGCAUUUCUUCAUGGCUUUCUUUCCGAGACUAUUUAUAUGCAGCAACCACUAGGUUUUGAAGAUGCCUGGUUCCCUUCGCAUGUGUGCAAGUUGCAACGAGCUCUUUAUGGUCUCAAAUAG